This 328-nucleotide ribosomal RNA is filed under the name uncultured eukaryote. RNAcentral describes it as "partial 18S ribosomal RNA". It matches the Rfam family "Eukaryotic small subunit ribosomal RNA", at positions 1470 to 1796 of the family's 1831-position model. The record is from RNAcentral.
CCCUUAGAUGUCCUGGGCCGCACGCGCGUUACACUGAUGCAUUCAACGAGCUUAUAACCUUGGCCGAGAGGCCUGGGCAAUCUUGUUAACGUGCAUCGUGAUAGGGAUAGAUUAUUGAAAUUAUUAAUCUUGAACGAGGAAUUCCUAGUAAACGCAGAUCAUCAAACUGCAUUGAUUACGUCCCUGCCCUUUGUACACACCGCCCGUCGCACCUACCGAUUGGAUGGUCCGGUGAAGCCUCGGGAUUGUGGUUCUUGCCGCUUUAUUGUGGCGUGACCGCGAGAACUUGUCUAAACCUUAUCAUCUAGAGGAAGGUGAAGUCGUAACA